GGAUUUGUGCCUGAACACUAUAGGGUCACUUUGAUAGAGUGAAUCAUGCGGGUUAAAAUCCCGCCGAAUCCU
RNAcentral lists this transfer RNA (72 nucleotides) under Symbolophorus californiensis (bigfin lanternfish). RNAcentral's name for it is "tRNA-Ile". It matches the Rfam family "tRNA". From Rfam's summary of the family: Transfer RNA (tRNA) molecules are approximately 80 nucleotides in length. Their secondary structure includes four short double-helical elements and three loops (D, anti-codon, and T loops). Further hydrogen bonds mediate the characteristic L-shaped molecular structure. tRNAs have two regions of fundamental functional importance: the anti-codon, which is responsible for specific mRNA codon recognition, and the 3' end, to which the tRNAs corresponding amino acid is attached (by aminoacyl-tRNA synthetases). tRNAs cope with the degeneracy of the genetic code in two manners: having more than one tRNA (with a specific anti-codon) for a particular amino acid; and 'wobble' base-pairing, i.e. permitting non-standard base-pairing at the 3rd anti-codon position. The record is from RNAcentral. Lineage: Eukaryota; Metazoa; Chordata; Actinopteri; Myctophiformes; Myctophidae.